AUAGAGUUUACACAGACAGAGAUAAGGCUCUGGUCUGGACUACAGCAGAGUUAUAUAGAGUUUACACAGACAGAGAUAAGGCUCUGGUUUGGACUACAGCAGAGUUAUAUAGAGUUUACACAGACAGAGAUAAGGCUCUGGUCUGGACUACAGCAGAGUUAUAUAGAGUUUACACAGACAGAGAUAAGGCUCUGGUUUGGACUACAGCAGAGUUAUAUAGAGUUUACACAGACAGAGAUAAGGCUCUGGUUUGGACUACAGCAGAGUUAUAUAGAGUUUACACAGACAGAGAUAAGGCUCUGGUUUGGACUACAGAUGAGUCAAAUGAGUCAGAUGAGUUUGGACUACAGAUGAGUCUACAUAUAGAGUUUACACAGACAGAGAUAAAUCAAAUCAAAUCAAAUGUAUUUAUAUAGCCCUUCUUACAUCAGCUGAUAUCUCAAAGUGCUGUACAGAAACCCAGCCUAAAACCCCAAACAGCAAGCAAUGCAGGUGUAGAAGCACGGAGGCUAGGAAAAAUUCCCUAGAAAGGCCAAAACCUAGGAAGAAACCUAGAGAGGAACCAGUCUAUGAGGGGUGGCCAGUCCUCUUCUGGCUGUGCCGGGGUGGCGAUUAUAACAGAACAUGGCCAAGAUGUUCAAAUGUUCAUAAAUGACCAGCAUGGUCAAAUAAUAAUAAUCACAGUAGUUGUCGAGGGUGCAACAAGUCAGCACCUCAAGAGUAAGUGUCAGGUGGCUUUUUCAUAGCCGAUCUUUGAGAGUAUCUCAACCACUCCUGCUGUCUCUAGAGAGUUGAAAACAGCAGGUCUGGGACAGGUAGCACAUCCGGUGAACAGGUCAGGGUUCCAUAGCCGCAGGCAGAACAGUUGAAACUGGAGCAGCAGCACGGCCAGGUGGACUGGGGACAGCAAGGAGUCAUCAUGCCAGGUAGUCCUGAGGCAUGGUCCUAGAGCUCAGGUCCUCCGAGAGAAAGAAAGAAAGCGAGAAAGAGAGAAUUAGAGAGAGCAUAUUUAAAUUCACACAGGACACCGGAUAAGGCAAGAGAAAUACUCCAGAUGUAACAGACUGACCCUAGCCCCCCGACACAUAAACUACUGCAGCAUAAAUACUGGAGGAUGAGACAGGAGGGGUCAGGAGACACUGUGGCCCCAUCCGAUGAUACCCCCUGACAGGGCCAAACAGGCAGGAUAUAACUCCACCCACUUUACCAAAGCACAGCCCCCACACCACUAGAGGGAUAUCUUCAACCACCAACUUACCAUCCUGAGACAAGGCCAAGUAUAGCCCACAAAGAUCUACACCACGGCACAACCCAAGGGGGGGCGCCAACCCAGACAGGAAGACCACGUCAGUGACUCAACCCACUCAAGUGAUGCACCCCUCCUAGGUACGGCAUGGAAGAGCACCAGUAAGCCAGUGACUCAGCCCCUGUAAUAGGGUUAGAGGCAGAAAAUCCCAGUGGAGAGAUGGGAACCGGCCAGGCAGAGACAGCAAGGGCGGUUCGUUGCUCCAGAGCCUUUCCGUUCACCUUCACACUCCUGGGCCAAACUACACUUAAUCAUAGGACCUACUGAAGAGUUGAGUCUUCAGUAAAGACUUAAAGGUUGAGACUGAGUCUGCGUCUCUCACAUGGAUAGGCAGACCAUUCCAUAAAAAUGGAGCUCUAUAGGAGAAAGCCCUGCCUCCAGCUGUUUGUUUAGAAAUUCUAGGUACAAUUAGGAGGCCUGCGUCUUGUGACGGUAGCGUACGUGUAGGUAUGUACGGCAGGACCAAAUCGGAAAGAUAGGUAGGAGCAAGCCCAUGUAAUGCUUUGUAGGUUAGCAGUAAAACCUUGAAAUCAGCCCUUGCCUUAACAGGAGAUAAGGCUCUGGUCUGGACUACAGCAGAGUUAUAUAGAGUUUACACAGACAGAGAUAAGGCUCUGGUUUGGACUACAGCAGAGUUAUAUAGAGUUUACACAGACAGAGAUAAGGCUCUGGUCUGGACUACAGCAGAGUUAUAUAGAGUUUACACAGACAGAGAUAAGGCUCUGGUUUGGACUACAGCAGAGUUAUAUAGAGUUUACACAGACAGAGAUAAGGCUCUGGUUUGGACUACAGAAAUUGGAGUCUGUCUGUCUCUCUCCUCUCUCUUCUCUGUUCUCUCCAAUCCCAAUUCUCUCUCCCUAUCGAUCUCCUUCCCCAUUAGUUAAGCUACCUGCUUGACACCCCCCUGUCGCUGUUUCUCUCUACCCCCUCUCCCUCCUCUCUCCCUCCCCUUUCUCCUUCUCUCUCUCCAUCAACUCCUCUCUCCCAUCUCUCUCUCUCCCUCUCUCUCCCUCACCUCCUCUCUCUCCCUCCUCUCUCUCCCUUCAUUCGUCUACUCCCUUCCCUUGUCUACUCCCUUCACUUGUCUACUCCCUCCCCUCCUCUCUCUCCCUUCACUUGUCUACUCCCUUCACUUGUCUACUCCCUCCCCUCCUCUCUCUCCCUUCACUUGUCUACUCCCUCCCCUCCUCUCUCUCCCUUCACUUGUCUACUCCCUUCCCUUGUCUCUCCCUCCCCUCCUCUCUCUCCCUUCACUUGUCUACUCCCUCCCCUCCUCUCUCUCCCUUCACUUGUCUACUCCCUCCCCUCCUCUCUCUCCCUUCACUUGUCUACUCCCUUCACUUGUCUACUCCCUCCCCUCCUCUCUCUCCCUUCACUUGUCUACUCCCUCCCCUCCUCUCUCUCCCUUCACUUGUCUACUCCCUUCACUUGUCUACUCCCUCCCCUCCUCUCUCUCCCUUCACUUGUCUACUCCCUCCCCUCCUCUCUCUCCCUUCACUUGUCUACUCCCUUCACUUGUCUACUCCCUCCCCUCCUCUCUCUCCCUUCACUUGUCUACUCCCUCCCCUCCUCUCUCCCCCUUCACUUGUCUACUCCCUCCCCUCCUCUCUCUCCCUUCACUUGUCUACUCCCUUCACUUGUCUACUCCCUCCCCUCCUCUCUCUCCCUUCACUUGUCUACUCCCUUCACUUGUCUACUCCCUUCACUCAGUAAGAUAUUGGAGGGUAUUGUGAGUAGACAAAUAUGGGAGUACAUGAAAAAUAAUGAUCUGAUUACAGCCAAUCAGCAUGCUUAUUGCAAAAACCAUUGCACUACCACUGCAAUGGUUGACAUGACAUGACAGUGGUUCAAUGCUAUGGAUAAUGGCAGGUUUGUGGGUGUAUUAUUUUUGUAUUUUACUGCAGCGUUUGAUUUAGUGGAUCAUGAAAUAAUUUUGACAAAAUGAAUGCAUUAUGGUUUUAAGGAGGUAGCAUUGAAUUGGGUACAGUGAUAUCUAACUGACAGGAAACAGUCCACCUAUAUCAAUGGUUCAUUUUCUUCCCCUCAUGCUUUAAACUGUGGCAUACCGCAGGGCAGCUGCCUUGGGCCACUUCUUUAUUUAAUAUAUACCAACGACCUUCCUUAUGCCUUAUCUGUAACUCAAGCUACUAUAUUUGCAGAUGAUACUACAAUUUAUACAGCAAGACAAUCGGUUCAACAGGUACAGCAAGCUUUACAAGGAGAUUUUGAGAAUAUCAGGGAGUUGGUUUGCCGGAACAAACUUGUUUUAACAAGAAAACCAAAGUUAUGUUGGUCUGUUCCACUAAGAAAAGGCCAACACAACAUGGGGAUACAAUUAAGUAUGGAGGGAGUUCAAAUUAAGGAAGUGUCAGAAACCAAACUACCGGGAGUGCAGCUAGACAACUGAGGAAGUGGCAGAAACUAAACUACCGGGAAUGCAGCUAGACAACUGCUUAUCAUGGUCGUCUCAAAUAACUAAUCUAUGUAAAACAAAUAUUAAAACAGCAUGUAUGAUCAGAAGGAUAGCUAAAUAUUUACCAGGAAAGAUUCUUAAGUAAAUAACACAAGCAUUAAUUGAGAGUCAGGUGAACUACUGUUCUGUGGUCUGGGGAAAUGCAUCAUCAAGUGAAGUUAGGAGGCUGCAGAUUGCACAGAACAAAGCAGCAAGGAUUGCUUUAAGGUGGAGAUAUGGUUCUUCUGUUGUAGUCAUGCGCAAUGCUCUUGGUUGGUCAUCAAUCAACAAGAUAAUUGAAAAAAACAUGCUUAUUUUAUUUAAUAAUAUACACCAUUUAAAACAGCCAAACUCUAUUCACAACAGUAUUCAGUUGGUAAGAGACAGACACUCAGUAAAUUCUAGGAAUAGAUUGUCCACCAUCUAUGUGUUUUCCAGACAGAAAAGAGAAAUAGGCAAAAUAACAUUUUAUUUAGAGCAAUAUAGAAAUUGAAUAAUUUAACUGAGCGAAACCUCUCAAUAUAUACAUUCAAACAAUACUUUAAAACCAUUUAAAUAUAAUACAUAGAAAUGUUGUGAUGGACUAUAGUAGAUGAAAAAUCAAUAUAUUUUUAGACUGUUAGAGUAUUUAUCUGGUCAAUAUGUUAGUGUAUUAUGUCUGUUUGAAACAGUGUGUUAUAUGUGAAAAUGUGAUCGCAUUAUAAAUUGUAUUUUAAUGUUUAAGGACUCUUGGAAGAUUAGUCCAAAUGAGGACUAAAAGAGAUCCAAAUAAAAAUCAAAUCAAGUCUCUCCCUCCUCUCUCUCUCUCCCCUCCUCUCUCUUCCCCUCUCUCUCUCUCCUCCCUCCCCAAAAG
RNAcentral lists this long non-coding RNA (4611 nucleotides) under Salmo salar (Atlantic salmon). RNAcentral's name for it is "lncRNA (ENSSSAG00000095099.1, ENSSSAG00000109752.1)". Lineage: Eukaryota; Metazoa; Chordata; Actinopteri; Salmoniformes; Salmonidae. The record is from RNAcentral.